UCUGAUACCACAUGUAAACUUCAUUUGGAAGUCAUGUGUAAAUGGAUCUUAAGAAAUCAUAGUUUUCACAUCAUAAGAAUAGUUACAGAUUACUAACCUUUACCCAUGGCGAUACGAUCCUCCAUUUAAUUGUUGUUUGGUGUUCUUGGUUUAUAGAGUAACUCUUCUAUCUCCUUCCCGUUCUUACUAUGCUCUUCCUUAAGUGAUGGCUGAUAGAACAAUCUUUAUGGGCAGAGAUGGGGACUGGUCCUUCUUCUUGUUAGUAUAAUGCUUCCAUCAAGCAGUAUAUAUAAGCUCUUUCCCAAGAGUCUUAACAUUUCAUUGAUAACUCUUCAUCCAAGAGUUAUAUCAUUCAAACAACGAAAUAAUAUAUUCAUUCAUGUCACAAGAGGCAUAUUUCUUACACUUGUUUCAUCAUUGCUUCUUCUUCAGAAUGGAUUUUCAAAAUAAUUAAACAAUCGUCUCACAAAUUGUUUUUCAUUACUAUGGGGUGUAACUGGCAUUGGUGAAAUAACAUGGUUAUGGACAGUAAUCCUUAGACAAGUGACAAAGUUUUCAAAAAGUUCAACUCUAAUUGCAAAGACGAGGAACAUUAUAGCAUGAUAUCUUAUGAAAUGGCUAAACAAGGAUGCCACAAUAGAUGCCUCCUCCUAUAGGCUGGAUAAAACUGAACAUAGAUGGAGGUCUCUCUUCAACAACUUCUAUCUUGAUAAAUGAUGAGAUCUUGAGGAAUGAGUACAAUGUUGGAUCGCAAGCUUCUCCUGUAGGGAAGGACAUGGAGAUAUGAUUCUUACAGAGUUGACGACCAUUUUAAGAGUAUUGGAUAUAGCUUGGUCAGAAAGAGCCCUAAUGCUCAAUUGCGAGAUAGAUUGCUUAGAGGUUGUGUUGUUACCGUAGCUUACAGCAAUUCUAAAUGGCACGAAAUAAUACUUACUGGCUGAGUCACGACCAUGUCGCUCUCUUUAAGACGUUUCGUGGCACUUCCCAAAAUGUGCAAGCAGACUAUCAACCACGCCGUCCCCAGGAUAAAACAGCCCAGAUCUCUGUUAUCGAAUUCU
Molecule: long non-coding RNA, 1058 nt
Filed under: Lupinus angustifolius (narrow-leaved blue lupine)
Lineage: Eukaryota; Viridiplantae; Streptophyta; Magnoliopsida; Fabales; Fabaceae
Description: long non-coding RNA (LANG_LNC002489)
Source: RNAcentral